Molecule: non-coding RNA, 100 nt
Organism: Vicugna pacos (alpaca)
Lineage: Eukaryota; Metazoa; Chordata; Mammalia; Artiodactyla; Camelidae
Source: RefSeq, a predicted model, not a curated record
GCCAAAUCCAUUCACUCCUCUCUCUCUAUACCCUACCCAGCAGAUUUCAUCUACUCUCCAAAUCUGAAUUAUACAGAUGAUCCUGAGGAUAGGAAGAGCA